UUUCCGUAGGUGAACCUGUGGAAGGAUCAUUGACACACAUCUGACAUACACCGCGAACCGUGGACGUACUGCGAGGGGCCGCGCCUGAGGCGCGGUUGCCCGUGCCUCACCCCCGUGCCUGAGCCGGGAGGGAGUGGGCGAGGUGCCUGGCCGGGGCCGCCCGUCGGCCGUACGGUGGGGUGCCAGGAGAGAGACGCCUCCCCCCACCUCCAUCGUGAGGGCGUCCCCUCUCCUCCGUGCCUCUUGGGGCACGGGGCCGCUCGAUAAACCUUCCGCCUCCCCCCGCUCGCGGGUGGGGUGCGCGAGGCGCACACAGAACAACCGACGCCGGACUGAGAUGCCUCCCUCCGGAAGGAUCUAAAUACAUAGCAACGACUCUCAGCAACGGAUAUCUUGGCUCUU
Molecule: unclassified non-coding RNA, 402 nt
Filed under: plant metagenome
Description: partial contains small subunit ribosomal RNA, internal transcribed spacer 1, and 5.8S ribosomal RNA
Source: RNAcentral